Molecule: transfer RNA, 76 nt
Filed under: Puniceicoccales bacterium
Lineage: Bacteria; Pseudomonadati; Verrucomicrobiota; Opitutia; Puniceicoccales
Description: tRNA-Trp
Rfam family: tRNA
About the family: Transfer RNA (tRNA) molecules are approximately 80 nucleotides in length.
Source: RNAcentral
AGGGGUGUAGUUCAAUUGGUAGAGCAACGGUCUCCAAAACCGUAAGUUGGGGGUUCGAGUCCCUCCGCCCCUGCCA